CAGCAGCCGCGGUAAUACGUAGGUGGCAAGCGUUGUCCGGAAUUAUUGGGCGUAAAGGGCUCGCAGGCGGUUUCUUAAGUCUGAUGUGAAAGCCCCCGGCUCAACCGGGGAGGGUCAUUGGAAACUGGGAAACUUGAGUGCAGAAGAGGAGAGUGGAAUUCCACGUGUAGCGGUGAAAUGUGUAGAGAUGUGGAGGAACACCAGUGGCGAAGGCGACUCUCUGGUCUGUAACUGACGCUGAGGAGCGAAAGCGUGGGGAGCGAACAGGAUUAGAUACCCCGGUAGUCCCUGUCUCUUAUAC
This 301-nucleotide ribosomal RNA is filed under the name uncultured bacterium. RNAcentral's name for it is "partial 16S ribosomal RNA". It matches the Rfam family "Bacterial small subunit ribosomal RNA", at positions 509 to 807 of the family's 1533-position model. The record is from RNAcentral.